Molecule: ribosomal RNA, 503 nt
Filed under: uncultured bacterium
Lineage: Bacteria
Description: partial 16S ribosomal RNA
Rfam family: Bacterial small subunit ribosomal RNA
Source: RNAcentral
AUUGAACGCUGGCGGCAGGCUUAACACAUGCAAGUCGAGCGGGGUGAUGGUGCUUGCACUAUCACUUAGCGGCGGACGGGUGAGUAAUGCUUAGGAAUCUGCCUAUUAGUGGGGGACAACAUCUCGAAAGGGAUGCUAAUACCGCAUACGUCCUACGGGAGAAAGCAGGGGAUCACUUGUGACCUUGCGCUAAUAGAUGAGCCUAAGUCAGAUUAGCUAGUUGGUGGGGUAAAGGCCUACCAAGGCGACGAUCUGUAGCGGGUCUGAGAGGAUGAUCCGCCACACUGGGACGGAGACACGGCCCAGACUCCUCCGGGAGGCAGCAGUGGGGAAUAUUGGACAAUGGGGGGAACCCUGAUCCAGCCAUGCCGCGUGUGUGAAGAAUGCCUUAUGGUUGUAAAGCACUUUAAGCGAGGAGGAGGCUCUUUUGGUUACUACCCAAGAUGAGUGGACGUUACUCGCAGAAUAAGCACCGGCUAACUCUGUGCCAGCCGCCGCCGUAA